CUACGGGUGGCUGCAGUGGGGAAUAUUGGACAAUGGGGGAAACCCUGAUCCAGCAAUGCCGCGUGUGUGAAGAAGGCCUGCGGGUUGUAAAGCACUUUCGGUUGGGAGGACUGCUUCUAGCACUAAUAUUGUUGGAAGUUGACAUUACCUUCAGAAGAAGCACCGGCUAACUCCGUGCCAGCAGCCGCGGUAAUACGGAGGGUGUAAGCGUUAAUCGGAAUUACUGGGCGUAAGGCGCGCGUAGGCGGCUAGAUCAGUCGGGUGUGAAAGCCCCGGGCUUAACCUGGGAACUGCAUCCGAUACUGUCUAGCUUGAGUACAGGAGAGGAGAGUGGAAUGCCACAUGUAGCGGUGAAAUGCGUAGAUAUGUGGAGGAACACCAAUGGCGAAGGCAGCUCUCUGGCCUGAUACUGACGCUGAGGUGCGAAAGCGUGGGGAGCAAACAGGAUUAGAUACCUCGUAGUC
This 464-nucleotide ribosomal RNA is filed under the name uncultured bacterium. RNAcentral's name for it is "partial 16S ribosomal RNA". It matches the Rfam family "Bacterial small subunit ribosomal RNA", at positions 339 to 795 of the family's 1533-position model. The record is from RNAcentral.